GCAACCUGCCCCGAAGACCGGGAUAAUCCCGGGAAACCGGAGCUAAUACCGGAUACCCCCACCGGGUCACAUGGCCUGGCGAGGAAAUGGAUUCCGCUUCGGGAGGGGCUCGCGGCCUAUCAGCUUGUUGGUGGGGUAACGGCCCACCAAGGCUUCGACGGGUAGCUGGUCUGAGAGGACGAUCAGCCACACUGGGACUGAGACACGGCCCAGACUCCUACGGGAGGCAGCAGUGGGGAAUCUUGCGCAAUGGGCGAAAGCCUGACGCAGCAACGCCGCGUGGGGGACGAAGGCCUUCUGAGUUGUAAACCCCUUUCAGCAGGGACGAUUAUGACGGUACCUGCAGAAGAAGUUGUAAACCCCUUUCAGCAGGGACGAUUAUGACGGUACCUGCAGAAGA
This 400-nucleotide ribosomal RNA is filed under the name uncultured actinobacterium WB026. RNAcentral describes it as "bacterial SSU rRNA". It matches the Rfam family "Bacterial small subunit ribosomal RNA", at positions 121 to 539 of the family's 1533-position model. The record is from RNAcentral. Lineage: Bacteria; Bacillati; Actinomycetota; Actinomycetes.